AUGAACGCUGGCGGCGUGCCUAAUACAUGCAAGUCGAGCGAACAGACGAGGAGCUUGCUCCUCUGACGUUAGCGGCGGACGGGUGAGUAACACGUGGAUAACCUACCUAUAAGACUGGGAUAACUUCGGGAAACCGGAGCUAAUACCGGAUAAUAUAUUGAACCGCAUGGUUCAAUAGUGAAAGACGGUUUUGCUGUCACUUAUAGAUGGAUCCGCGCCGCAUUAGCUAGUUGGUAAGGUAACGGCUUACCAAGGCAACGAUGCGUAGCCGACCUGAGAGGGUGAUCGGCCACACUGGAACUGAGACACGGUCCAGACUCCGACGGGAGGCAGCAGUAGGGAAUCUUCCGCAAUGGGCGAAAGCCUGACGGAGCAACGCCGCGUGAGUGAUGAAGGUCUUCGGAUCGUAAAACUCUGUUAUUAGGGAAGAACAAAUGUGUAAGUAACUAUGCACGUCUUGACGGUACCUAAUCAGAAAGCCACGGCUAACUACGU
RNAcentral lists this ribosomal RNA (495 nucleotides) under uncultured bacterium. RNAcentral's name for it is "partial 16S ribosomal RNA". It matches the Rfam family "Bacterial small subunit ribosomal RNA", at positions 29 to 506 of the family's 1533-position model. The record is from RNAcentral.